RNAcentral lists this long non-coding RNA (251 nucleotides) under Elaeis guineensis (African oil palm). RNAcentral's name for it is "long non-coding RNA (EGUI_LNC078414)". The record is from RNAcentral. Lineage: Eukaryota; Viridiplantae; Streptophyta; Magnoliopsida; Arecales; Arecaceae.
AAUCAUAUAAUCAAACAAUUUUUAGGUGCUUUUUAUCUGUAGUGGCCUCAUAAUAUGACGAUCUCGUGGGGUUUGAAGCCAAUUGGGUGGCUUCGGGUUGAGAUUGAAGUUGACUCUGGAGUUCUUAAGUUAAGACGACUCACGGUCCUAAUAUAAUUGUCGGCGGUCAUUCCGGCAUAUAAUAUCAUUUUCUAUUUUAGAUGCAUUACUAAUUCUCAGGAUUUAAAUUAUUUGAAUUUGGAUUAGGCUUU